AAGCUCCAGGGUAGGAGCAGCCUGGCAGUUCCUCCCUCUUUGGGUCAAGGUCUCAUCUCCCUUUCACUGGCUUUAGAAGAAGGAAAGUCAGGACCGUGGCUCCGUCGUAUCAAACUCUCAGGGUCUAAAAUGUCUGGAUACAUGACAUCCUGCCUAUAUUAUGUAUCAUGCAGCCCCAAAUUUUAUCAGAUACAUACUGUGUAACAGUAACGUUCCCUUGGACCACACUUUCAUAUCUGUGAUUUUAUUUC
Non-coding RNA from Ceratotherium simum simum (southern white rhinoceros), 251 nucleotides. Lineage: Eukaryota; Metazoa; Chordata; Mammalia; Perissodactyla; Rhinocerotidae. The record is from RefSeq and is a predicted model, not a curated record.